CCUACGGGUGGCAGCAGUGGGGAAUAUUGGGCAAUGGAGGAAACUCUGAACCAGCAAAGCCGCGUGAGUGAUGCAGGUCUAGGGAUUGAAAAGUUCUUUUCUAAGGGAAGAAGAAAGUGAGGGUACCUUAGGAAUAAGCCUCGGCUAACAACGUGCCAGCAGCCGCGGUAAUACGUAGGAGGCGAGCGUUAUCCGGAAUGACGGGGUGUAAAGGGUGCGUAGGUGGUUUAGUAAGUUGGCGGUGUAAUUCCGGGGCUCAACCUCGGCGCUACCGCCAAAACUAUUAGACUAGAGUGCAGGAGGGGUAAGUGGAAUUCCUAGUGUAGCGGUGGAAUGCGUAGAUAUUAGGAGGAACAUCAGGGGCGAAGGCGACUUACUGGACUGUAACUGACACUGAGGCACGAAAGCGUGGGGAGCAAACAGGAUUAGAUACCCCGGUAGUC
This 443-nucleotide ribosomal RNA is filed under the name uncultured bacterium. RNAcentral describes it as "partial 16S ribosomal RNA". It matches the Rfam family "Bacterial small subunit ribosomal RNA", at positions 338 to 795 of the family's 1533-position model. The record is from RNAcentral.